RNAcentral lists this ribosomal RNA (772 nucleotides) under Staphylococcus haemolyticus. Its description in RNAcentral is "bacterial SSU rRNA". It matches the Rfam family "Bacterial small subunit ribosomal RNA", at positions 46 to 799 of the family's 1533-position model. The record is from RNAcentral. Lineage: Bacteria; Bacillati; Bacillota; Bacilli; Caryophanales; Staphylococcaceae.
GCCUUAUUCAUGCAAGUCGAGCGAACAGACAAGGAGCUUGCUCCUUUGACGUUAGCGGCGGACGGGUGAGUAACACGUGGGUAACCUACCUAUAAGACUGGGAUAACUUCGGGAAACCGGAGCUAAUACCGGAUAAUAUUUCGAACCGCAUGGUUCGAUAGUGAAAGAUGGUUUUGCUAUCACUUAUAGAUGGACCCGCGCCGUAUUAGCUAGUUGGUAAGGUAACGGCUUACCAAGGCGACGAUACGUAGCCGACCUGAGAGGGUGAUCGGCCACACUGGAACUGAGACACGGUCCAGACUCCUACGGGAGGCAGCAGUAGGGAAUCUUCCGCAAUGGGCGAAAGCCUGACGGAGCAACGCCGCGUGAGUGAUGAAGGUCUUCGGAUCGUAAAACUCUGUUAUUAGGGAAGAACAUACGUGUAAGUAACUAUGCACGUCUUGACGGUACCUAAUCAGAAAGCCACGGCUAACUACGUGCCAGCAGCCGCGGUAAUACGUAGGUGGCAAGCGUUAUCCGGAAUUAUUGGGCGUAAAGCGCGCGUAGGCGGUUUUUUAAGUCUGAUGUGAAAGCCCACGGCUCAACCGUGGAGGGUCAUUGGAAACUGGAAAACUUGAGUGCAGAAGAGGAAAGUGGAAUUCCAUGUGUAGCGGUGAAAUGCGCAGAGAUAUGGAGGAACACCAGUGGCGAAGGCGACUUUCUGGUCUGUAACUGACGCUGAUGUGCGAAAGCGUGGGGAUCAAACAGGAUUAGAUACCUGGGGUAGUCCAAA